RNAcentral lists this ribosomal RNA (119 nucleotides) under Pteropus alecto (black flying fox). Lineage: Eukaryota; Metazoa; Chordata; Mammalia; Chiroptera; Pteropodidae. The record is from RNAcentral.
GUCUAUGGCCAUGCCACCCUGAACGUGCCCGAUCUCGUCUGAUCUCGGAAGCUAAGCAGGGUCGGGCCUGGUUAGUACUUAGAUGGGAGACCACCUAGGAAGACCAGGUGCUGUGGGCA